RNAcentral lists this transfer RNA (69 nucleotides) under Tylototriton taliangensis (Taliang knobby newt). Its description in RNAcentral is "tRNA-Ala". The record is from RNAcentral. Lineage: Eukaryota; Metazoa; Chordata; Amphibia; Caudata; Salamandridae.
UAAGACCUGCAGGACCCUACCCCACAUCUUCUGAAUGCAACCCAGACACUUUAAUUAAGCUAAGACCUU